This 639-nucleotide ribosomal RNA is filed under the name Bacillus sp. (in: firmicutes). RNAcentral's name for it is "bacterial SSU rRNA". It matches the Rfam family "Bacterial small subunit ribosomal RNA", at positions 38 to 662 of the family's 1533-position model. Lineage: Bacteria; Bacillati; Bacillota; Bacilli; Caryophanales; Bacillaceae. The record is from RNAcentral.
GGCGGCGUGCCUAUACAUGCAAGUCGAGCGAAUCGACGGGAGCUUGCUCCCUUAGAUUAGCGGCGGACGGGUGAGUAACACGUGGGUAACCUGCCUAUAAGACUGGGAUAACUUCGGGAAACCGGAGCUAAUACCGGAUAAUUUCUUCCCUCGCAUGAGGGAAGAUGGAAAGACGGUUCUGCUGUCACUUAUAGAUGGACCCGCGGCGCAUUAGCUAGUUGGUGAGGUAAUGGCUCACCAAGGCGACGAUGCGUAGCCGACCUGAGAGGGUGAUCGGCCACACUGGGACUGAGACACGGCCCAGACUCCUACGGGAGGCAGCAGUAGGGAAUCUUCCGCAAUGGACGAAAGUCUGACGGAGCAACGCCGCGUGAACGAAGAAGGCCUUCGGGUCGUAAAGUUCUGUUGUUAGGGAAGAACAAGUACCAGAGUAACUGCUGGUACCUUGACGGUACCUAACCAGAAAGCCACGGCUAACUACGUGCCAGCAGCCGCGGUAAUACGUAGGUGGCAAGCGUUGUCCGGAAUUAUUGGGCGUAAAGCGCGCGCAGGUGGUUCUUUAAGUCUGAUGUGAAAGCCCACGGCUCAACCGUGGAGGGUCAUUGGAAACUGGGGAACUUGAGUGCAGAAGAGGAAAGU